RNAcentral lists this ribosomal RNA (207 nucleotides) under Triticum aestivum (bread wheat). RNAcentral describes it as "partial small subunit ribosomal RNA". The record is from RNAcentral. Lineage: Eukaryota; Viridiplantae; Streptophyta; Magnoliopsida; Poales; Poaceae.
AUGCCCAAAAAAGAGGGAAAGCAGAACCAAGUCAAGAUGAUAUGGGUCGCCCAUUCUUCAUGCGCCAAAAAUCUUACCAUUUCCGAAGGAACUGGGGCUACAUUUAUUUUCAAUUUCCAUUCAAGAAUUGCUUUUCUUUCAUAUUUUAUUCUUUCUUUUAUUUUCUGUCUUCUUCCUAGAAAAACUGUUAGACCAAAACUCUUUUAG